Molecule: ribosomal RNA, 459 nt
Filed under: uncultured bacterium
Lineage: Bacteria
Description: partial 16S ribosomal RNA
Rfam family: Bacterial small subunit ribosomal RNA
Source: RNAcentral
CCUACGAGAGGCAGCAGUGAGGAAUAUUGGUCAAUGGCCGGAAGGCUGAACCAGCCAUGCCGCGUGAAGGUCCGUGCGCUAUGGGCGUUAAACUUCUUUUGUGCGGAAGCAAUAAUGGUCACGUGUGGCCAGACGAGAGUACCGUACGAAUAAGCAUCGGCUAACUCCGUGCCAGAAGCCGCGGUAAUACGGGGGAUGCAGGCGUUAUCCGGAUUUAUUGGUUUUAAGGGUGGCUUAGAAUGUGAGUUAAUUAAGCGUUGAAUUGCCCCCGUUAAAAGGGGUGAAGUGCCAUGGUUACUGCCGUGCUGGAAGUCGGAUCCCGGGGAGGAAUGUGUGGUGUAGCGGUGAAAUGCAUAGAUAUCACACAGAACACCGAUUGCGAAGGCAUCUCACGAAUCCGCGAUUGACGCUGAUGCACGAAAGCGUGGGUAUCAAACAGGAUUAGAUACCCUAGUAGUC